UACGGGGGGGGCAAGCGUUGUUCGGAAUUACUGGGCGUAAAGGGCUCGUAGGCGGCCAACUAAGUCGGACGUGAAAUCCCCAGGCUCAACCUGGGAACUGCGUCCGAUACUGGAUGGCUUGAAUCCGGGAGAGGGAUGCAGAAUUCCAGGUGUAGCGGUGAAAUGCGUAGAUAUCUGGAGGAAUACCGGUGGCGAAGGCGGCAUCCUGGACCGGCAUUGACGCUGAGGAGCGAAAGCCAG
This 240-nucleotide ribosomal RNA is filed under the name uncultured bacterium. RNAcentral describes it as "partial 16S ribosomal RNA". It matches the Rfam family "Bacterial small subunit ribosomal RNA", at positions 524 to 763 of the family's 1533-position model. The record is from RNAcentral.